AGAAAGAAGGUGACAUGUUUAUGGACCCAGAACUAGCUAAGACAGCUAAGACUCUGUGUACAUGCGAAUCACUUCAAGAAUCUUCUUGAUGAAAGAAGCUUGUGUGGUUUGUUAAAAGACUUCGAUCCGCUCACAGCCAUGCAGAUUAAGACGAAUUUAGAUCGACAUUAUUUUGAUAACAAUGAAAACUCAAAUGCUUGAAACGAAAUGAGUGGAGUUGAACGACGCCUGUUUAUCGAAACUACAUCAAUCAACUUUUCAACUAUGCAGGUGAUCGAUCUGGAGAGAUGAAAACAGUCUUAUGAUCUUCACACAGUCUCAGCUUUUUGGCAUUUACUAAUAUCUGAUGAACGGAUUUCAAAAUGUACAAGGCAUCAUAUCAAAGAUUGCAUAUGCCCGAAAGAAGGACAAAUCCAAUUUGGCUCUCUGGAUGUAUGGAAAGCUCUCAACCUUCCAGAAAAGGACUGUUCAAAGGAACACUUAAAUCCCUCCGACAGGCCCUCUGGUGGUGACGUAUAAGUGCUUUCUCAGUACUUUCUCUCGCUUUUGGACAAAUUCA
Bolinopsis microptera is the source of this 559-nucleotide long non-coding RNA. RefSeq lists it as uncharacterized. NCBI's taxonomy places the organism in Eukaryota, Metazoa, Ctenophora, Tentaculata, Lobata, Bolinopsidae. The record is from RefSeq and is a predicted model, not a curated record. The transcript has 5 exons.